Molecule: ribosomal RNA, 540 nt
Filed under: uncultured archaeon
Lineage: Archaea
Description: bacterial SSU rRNA
Rfam family: Bacterial small subunit ribosomal RNA
Source: RNAcentral
CAGCCGCCGCGGUAAUACGUAGGGGGCGAGCGUUGUCCGGAUUUACUGGGCGUAAAGGGUGAGUAGGCGGUUAUAUAUGUCAGGUGUAAAAAGCUAUGGCUUAACCAUAGUAAGCACUUGAAACUGUAUGACUUGAGUGCAGGAGAGGUAAGCGGAAUUCCUAGUGUAGCGGUGAAAUGCGUAGAUAUUAGGAGGAACACCGGUGGCGAAGGCGGCUUACUGGACUGUAACUGACGCUGAGUCACGAAAGCGUGGGUAGCAAACAGGAUUAGAUACCCUGGUAGUCCACGCCGUAAACGAUGAGUGCUAGGUGUUGGGCAGCAAUGCUCAGUGCCGAAGUAAACACAAUAAGCACUCCGCCUGGGGAGUACGUACGCAAGUAUGAAACUCAAAGGAAUUGACGGGGACCCGCACAAGCAGCGGAGCAUGUGGUUUAAUUCGAAGCAACGCGAAGAACCUUACCAAGGCUUGACAUCCCCUUGACAGAUGCAGAGAUGUGUCCUCCUCUUCGGAGGCAAGGGAGACAGGUGGUGCAUGGCC